CUGUAUAAUGUGAUGCGUUGGAGGAUCAUUUUGUGUUGUUUUACACACGCUUUAUGCAUUCGAAGACCAUCAUUAUUAAACCCUGUUAACGCGGAUGCCCAAUCUGUAAUUUUACGGAGCGGGUGUUUUAUUUUAAACCUUUAACAAAAUAUAAACCUAUCACAACAUAUAACACAAAACUUAUA
Molecule: unclassified non-coding RNA, 185 nt
Filed under: soil metagenome
Description: partial internal transcribed spacer 1
Source: RNAcentral